RNAcentral lists this long non-coding RNA (1403 nucleotides) under Androctonus crassicauda. The record is from RNAcentral. Lineage: Eukaryota; Metazoa; Arthropoda; Arachnida; Scorpiones; Buthidae.
CUAUAUUCUGUUAUACUAGUUUUAUUUCAUUGAUAAAUUAGUAAGUAAGCUGAAAGUAAUUUGUAUCUCGAAUACAUAUAUAUUACCUUUUCCCUAAACACAGCCUAAUUCUAUGCAUUGAAGUAGAACCUGAAUUCAAGUUUGUCUCAAAGUGAAAAUCCAAACUGCUUUCCACCAAUUUAGAUUAAAAAAAAAGUCACUCACAUAAAAUUGUAUAGCAUUUUAUCUUGGAGAAUUUGGGUUCAAUUCCAGGUUCCAUAUCUCCAGAUUUCUUCAAGAAAGAUUUAAUCCUCUGGUUUUUUGAAUCAGUUCUUCUACUCGUACUUGACCCACUAUAAGUAUAGAUAGUCUGUCUUGAAUACUGGAAUAUUCCCAUCUUUUACUUACAGUCCUUUUAGCAGAAAAAGAAUAUAAAACAAGAAAGAAAGAACAACCUUACCACAGAUAUGGGUGAACUAUGAAAGGCAUUGAAAUAUUUUGCUUCUCAAUACUCAGUAGGAUAAAAUUUAAUAAGAAAAAAGAUACUGAAGGACUUUCCGGAAUUUCUUCAAUAUCCUAUAAACAGCAAGAAUUAUAGAGGAUUCAUGAAUAAAACAAUAAAGGGCAUCUGGAAAAGAGAGUUGCCUUUUCUUCACAAUUUAUUGAGGGUUUAUAUUUCACUUCAAAAGUUGAUCUUGUUCCCUUCAAAAUCUAGUUUUCUGCCACAUGUGCUUCUAUUGUAUAGGCAACAAGAACACUUUAUGACAGCAAACUUGAUUUAGAAGUUAUAUCUGAUGAUGUUUCUGAGAGGCUGAACUCCCAUAAUCAGGAUUUGAAAUUCAAUGGAAUUUCAGAUCCUGAUUAUAACUCUACUGAAUUACAGAAGUCAAAGCACACUUGAAGAAUUUGAUUAUAAUGUAAGUCAGAGAUCAGAUCUUGACAAUUUCAAAAUUAAUUGAGGAGAUUGGGCUUAUUGAGCCUACAUAGAGAUUCUCGAGGACUGAUUUGAACAAGCAACAAACAGAAACAAAGUAAGGAAUAAAGCAAAUGUAUGUUUCUUUUAGGAGAAGAAUUUAUCUUGCAAAACUGAGUACUUACUUGAUUUACUUGUGCUUUUUUUGUUAACAAAUGUUGCUAUUUUCCAUUCAGGUAGAUUAUUAAGUAAUAGGCCAAAAGAAGCUCUGCUGUAGGUUGUCCACUACUGUGGAGAAUUAUGGACAACCUAUGGCAAUUUGUGACAGGGAUCUGUGGUCCAGGCCAGAUCUUAUUAAUAAAUUUUCCAAUAGGUAGGAUUCAAGAAUCAAACAUUACUCUUUCAGAAUGGAAAGACAAAGUGUUUCUAUGCAGAAUUUGGCCAAUUUACUUAAGACUAUGGCUAAGGACUUGUUCAUUGCAAUUUUCAUUAUUGGAUCUUAGUGAUUAUC